Ctenopharyngodon idella (grass carp) is the source of this 5865-nucleotide long non-coding RNA. RefSeq lists it as uncharacterized. The record is from RefSeq and is a predicted model, not a curated record. NCBI's taxonomy places the organism in Eukaryota, Metazoa, Chordata, Actinopteri, Cypriniformes, Xenocyprididae. The transcript is spliced from 2 exons.
CAGAGGAGUCAGCGGUGUCAGAGUAAACCCGGUGAACCCGGUGCUCGAGAACUGGGGGAAAGGUCGGUGCAGCGAACGAGCGGAAUCGUGAGAUACUCGCACGCGUCUGGCUAGCUCUGCCAUCGGAGUGUGGCAUGCGCAGACGAGCGCGCGCUGAGUCCACACUGGAUGAGGGCUGUGAUUUUGCUGGUUUGUCUAGGUGAGCAGAGCUGAGCAGACAAAAGGCUUCAUUGGUCUACCCCUCCUCUUCUGAGAUUCAGAUAUUCAGUGAAAAAGACAGAGGAGAUUGUAUUUCUCUGUCUGCGAUGUGUUGUACAGCCGAGGAAGACAUUUGCCGUCCUUAGAAAUGUUUAGCAUUUAUUAAUGUUCUUAGCAAAGAAAUAAAGGGAAUUUAUAGUCGAUAUUCGUGAAAUAAAAUCGUCAAAUGUAUAUAAAUGGGCAACACUUAAUGUCUUUUGAAUAAUAAUUAAACAGUGUAGCACACCUUUUUUGCACAAAGAUAAUUCAAUAAUAAAAAUGAAUGUGGAGUCCUAAACACAUAAUUGACACGAGAACAAAGGCCUAUUAAAGAGCGAUAUUUAAUUCUAUAUACAUAUAGGGAAGGUUCAGCCAUUUUGUCUGAUAAUAAAGACUGAGCGUUUUGUGACGCGGAUCUGGAAAUAUUAACCCCAUGGGAAAAAAUGACAACUAAUUGGACAUUAUAACAAAAUAAUUGCUUCUUAAGCCUGCUAAAAGUGUUAAACCAUCUAAAAUAUUUAAACAAAAGAGGACUUUUAUUGGUGAAACACAUUUCUUUAUGGAGGUUUAGAAGGCAACAUCUGGUUUUGCUUCAUAAUUAUUAGCCUACAUUUUGAUAGCAGGAUUGGGGGUUUUCAGUUGUUUUUGAAACUGGUGUUGUGGGAGUCACAUGUAAAGAGAAAAUACACAAAGGUCUUUAAUAUUGUAGAGAUGAUGCAUGUAAAUAAAGAACAUGUCUCCAUUUAGCAAAAGCUGUAAGAAAAAGCAAAAGAAUCCAGCGUUAGCGUCAGUUCUGGCAGGUCACGUCAGUCAAGCUCGCAUCAGAUGACUCCCAGGUGACUCAUGUCUACCUAUAGGAAUAUGGCGCCUAUCACGGCAUUCAUAUAUAAGCUCCUCAGUAUUAUCAGCAGCUAUCGCAUUUCUCAGGAGCUAAAUACCCUCCUCCAUCCCCAGCUCCUCCUCUUUUCAGUCAGGAUUGGCCUUAUAAUUCCCCUGAAUCAGACUAAUUCUUGAAAUAUGUGUACAUGUUAAAUUAUUGACAUUAAUGAUAUCUGCAUAUGUUGGUUCUGUUCUGUUCACCCUAAGGGGGGUUAUUGCUGCUCUCCCUGCUCUUAUCCAUGCUAGGCUGCUAGGGAGUUCUUGCCCAGAACAGAACCAGACCGCCAAUACAAUCUCUAUGCAAUUAUCAAUCAUAUUUGACGAUAGUGAUCCUGGCGGAACAGAGGAAAGAAGAUCUCCUGUGUUGAUGGAACAAGAAAACAGAUCAACAAAGUAGAAGAAAAGUUGCACAUAAACUAAAAACACUCAGAAAAAGUAUGGGAUCAGUGAGAUUUUUUAAUGUUUUUGAAAAAAGUAAAACUGGUACUUAAUUUUGUGGAAACCAUGAUUCAUUUUUUUUCAGUAUUCUUUGAUUAAUAGAAAUUUCAAAAGAAUAGCAUUUAUUUGAAAUAGAAAUCUUUUGUACCAAGUCUUUACUGUCACUUUUGAUCAAUUUAACAUGUCUUUGCUGUGGGGAAAAAAAACACAUUAAAGAUAGGGUAUAGGCAAUGUUUUUCAUAAACACUUUUUGUUAUACUGGUUGAAACUCUCUUCACAUCCUGAUAGUAAUCAAUAAUAGAAGUGGUCUUAAUAUUAAAAAAUGUACAUAAUCUUCUGUGGAAGUCUCAGGACCAAAAAAAUGUUUGUCCCGAAUGCAGUGAUUGGUUAUUUGUUUAUGAUUGGAUAUUUUUUUUCUUCGUUUGACAACUGCUUCCUUAAAAAACAUUUGAGUGUUUAAAUGACACAAUUAUUUCCUUUAUCGAUUCCCACAGUAAUUUCUGAAUACAGCUGCUGAAUGGUUAUAUUUAAAAUAAAUAAAUAAAUAUAGAAGAAAGUAUUUGGUAUAUAAAAAUAUAAAGAGCUAACCCCACUAUAAUAGUAGUUCCAGUACUUAGUGAAAAUGUAAUCAUUUUUGUUUCUCAAUAAGUAUAAAUAACAUUGUUUAGAAUUAGAACUAAAAUGUUAGCAUAAAAUACAAGUGACUAAAUAGAUAAUAUUUCACAAGAUAUUACUACUUGAAUUAUUCAUGUGUUUUUUUUUUUAGUUUAGUAAUUAUGACAACUUUUAAAGUCAGUCUAUUUAAUGAGAAAUAAAAUUAUAUAAAGAGUUCUGGAGAUGUACAACCUUUGCUUUGCACACAUCAUUUUAAAUGAAGCUGAGACAUUAUUAUACAAAUCUUUAUUUAAAUUGUUAGACCUAAAAUUUUGCACUGUUAUACAUCACAAACAACUUGUAGGUUCUAGAUUCAUCACCAUAGCUUGUGUUUUCGAGAAUGAGCUGUUUGAACCCAGAGACUGUGGAAUCUUGGGAGGGAAGUGAGGCCAUUUAUGGGGGUUAAGCUGCUGGCCAAGGGAGGCAGUGUGUGUGUCUGUGUGUGUGAAAGAGAGAGGCCAAACAGGGCAUGCAAACACAGGCUUUGAGGAGGGUUGGGUGGCAGAUGUGCUGUCCGCUUUUGGCUGCUGAGGAAAAACAGUUGAAACUUUGGGGCUUCAUCCAAUGUGCUGCUGCAGCGUGUCUGAACUGAAUGACUUGAGCUCAGCUUAAAUAGGUGGGGUUCUCAAAAAGUAGGUCAUCCAAAAAGGGCGGGCUCGCUUUUAACCUCUAAGAUGCAACGUGCUUUCCGUGUUGCAUAGCCUGAAUCUGCCCCAUCAUGGCCGUUAGAAAUAAAUGUUGAUAAAUUAACAUCAUAAAUCAAAGUAAGAGCGUUGGUGCUUUAUCUCACAGUUUUUGUACUGGAAUGAGACAUACUCAGCAUUUUGAGUAAGUUACAUGAAUUCUCAGAGGCACCAUCACAUGAGUUGAGACUGUAAGAGCAAACAGCUCGCCUCCACACCCACGACUCACACAGAAGGAUGAAAACAUUUUUCACAAUAUACACACCCCUCAGUUCUGAAUAUGCAACAUAAUGCAAGAAAGGGUAAAUGCACAUUGACUCACACUGACAAGUUAGCACACAACUAAAACAUGAUGGCCUGUCUACUUGGUUAACCUGUAGCAUUAGUGAUAAAGGCACAUUGUGAGUCUGUUUUGCAAAGCAUUUUUGCAGAUAAAAAGUAAAUCUUGUAUAAUGCACACAAAGGAGUCCACACAGUCUGUAAGCAACUAUUUCUUAUUUCUGAAAAAAAUGUAUCAUGAUAAUAGCAAAGUUUGGGGUCUGUACAAUUAAAAAAAAAAUGUUUUUGAAGGAAAUCUCUUAUGCUCUGCAUUUAUUUGAUCAAAAAUACAGUAAAAUAUUAUUACAAUUUAAAAUAAUUGUUUUGUAUUUUAAUAUAUUUUAAAAUGUAAUUUAUAUGCCUGUGAUGAGUUUUCAGCAGCCAUUAUUUCAGUCUUUAGAGUCACAUGAUCCUUUAGAAAUUAGUUUAAUAUACUGAAUUGGUGCUCAAGAAACUUAUUUUAUCAGUGUUGUUUAUCAGAAAACAGAUGUGCUGCUUAAUAUUUUUCUUGAAACUGUGAUACUUUUUAUUUAAUUAAAGGAUUCCUUAAUUAAUAGAAAGUUCAAAAGAACAGCAUUUAUUUAAAAGAUCUUUAGGAAUCUUUUGUAACAUUAUAAAUACCCACUAAUCAGUUUCAUGUGUGCUAAAUAAAAGUAUGUUCUUAAAGAAAGAACGAAAGAAAGAAGUUAGUGUAAUCUUACCACAAAGUUUUGAAUAAUUUUUGAUUCAGCAGUAAGUAAGUCUUAGUCAGACUUGGAUAUCUGUAGUUGUGAUAGUUUAGCAAUUGAAUAGAGCUUGAUAAGUUCACUAAAGAUGUUUGUCCACUGCCCUUUAACCUAGGACCAUAAAUAAACUGCAGGAAAAUCGUGCUUGUUCACAUUUUUCAGAAUUAGGCCUACACAGUUUUAUUGUUUUACUGACUUGAAGCUCAAAUAUAACAGCUGAUGAAGAAAAACCUGGAGAAGAAUAUUUGAGGCAAUAUUUUGAGGGGAAGUGGCUUUUGCGACUGCUUUCAUUAAAACAUGAAAAGUGUCAACUCUAUGAUAAAAACUUUUCUUUUGAGUUUUUCUAAAUGUAGUUUCAUAAUACUGGUUAUAUAAAUGGUUAACGAGCUAAAACUAAAGCGUCAAAUACUGACACGAAGUAGAAUAAAAGAGAGAAACAGAGGUGGGGGAAGGAGAGGAAGUGAAGUGUGAGAUAAAACACUAAAGAUAAAACCGUCGGUUGUUUACAAUGAAAUUGCGCCGGUCUAGCAUGUUUAUCUGUGUGCACACAAACCCUGGUCAGUAAGCCAAGGUUAAACCCCGCUCGUGCAAUCCCCAGACCGAGUGUUUUCCAUUUGGCACCACGGAGUGUGAUCAGCUCAAAAAUAGUGCUGUCUGUUUGGGAGAGCCCAAGUCAAACAGAAAACAUGCCAGGAAAACGGCCCCUCUACACGUGAGAAGGGAAAACAACCCUGAAAAGCAUGCUGGGUAAUUUGUUUCGCUGGAAACAAGAGUGUUUCUGUGAGUGUUAGUAUACGUUUGUGCACGUCAGGGUUUUUCAUGCAGAAAGCAUGUAGACGGUGUUUACAUGCACACACGCUCAGUCAGCUGGUUUGGCUGAGGAAUAGUGCCAGAAAAACACCCAUGGCUCUCUGUCCUGGUUUUCCCUUCUCGGCCAGCCCCCCUGGCUCAGUCUUUCUCAAAUUUCUUCCUCCCUCCAUCACUCCUGCCUUGCUGUUUCAAUGUUUAUCUCUCUCUCUCUGGAUCAAACGUGUUUUAUUUCUUGGCUGAAAUAGUCCAACUCCUCUUUAGCCAAUUGGACUGUACUCUUCGGUCAAAAAGUUCAAACAUAAAAACAAAAGUUUUCCUUUGUUUUAUUCCCUCCCCCCAUUCCUCCAUUUUUUUGUAAGAGAUAGAGAGAGAGAAAUAUCGAGAAAAAAUAAUAAUAUAACGUCAAUGCAAUUUUAUUGAACACAUUUCUUGAACACAGGUUUUCAUCAACUUGGCAAACAAAUAUCUUGAGAUGGACAAAGCAGCAAAACAAAUACAGAAAUCACGUGCAGACAAAUAAAAACAAUAUGAACUCUUUUCAUCAGUAGCUUUAUCACAUCUGGUGUUAUUUCAAUAGGUGAUAUUUCUCAUGAGAUUUUUAAGAAACAAAUUUGUCACUUUGCAAUACAAUAUGACACAAUUGAGGCAUACUGAAAUGACAUGUAUAAGUUUAAUUUCGUGUCAGCAGAAUCUAGAGCAACAGGACAGCUGGAAUAUGUAUAUAUGGAAUUACUUUAAGGCAGAGUAUGGUCAAAUAUAUGGCCACAUUCUCCUAAACGAGUCAUUUAUUGAACUGAAAAGGGUGAAAUGGAUUCCUUCACCCAGGUCUAUUACUGCAAAGACUUUAAGAACAAAGAAAACUGCUCAGAAACAAAACCCUCAAGCAGUAAAUAUACCCAGAAGAAUUACUUACAUUUUUACACAUCAAUUUUUCCUUUCACAAAUAACAGACAAAACCAUUUUAGUGAGCUGCAGGACAAAAGAAUCUAUCAACACUCAAUUGUGAGUCGCAUUACUCCCCCUGCUGGUUUAUCUGUUCAGCUACAACCAAUGUAAGCUGUAUAUUUCAUUUUAAUCAAAAUAUAAAAUAAAUACAAGAUAAAUAACAUUUUUUAGGGAAA